UAAGGCAUAGCAUAAAUUAAUGUAUUUCACUUACGCUGAAAUGAUACUUCCGCACGGAGUUGCUUUAA
This 68-nucleotide transfer RNA is filed under the name Cerithidea djadjariensis. RNAcentral's name for it is "tRNA-Val". The record is from RNAcentral. RNAcentral also lists the same sequence under 1 other name. Lineage: Eukaryota; Metazoa; Mollusca; Gastropoda; Potamididae.